ACUAGUUCUGACCCCUUAAAAUGGAAGAGCUAUUUGCUAGAAGGGGCUUGUAAAUCACAGCAGUUACAGGAGACAUGUUUAGAAUUCAGAGUCAACAGAGAGAGAUUAGCAUAGACAGCAAUGCAAACAGUGUUUCCAUUUUUUUGUUCAUCUUCUUUAUAUCAACACAGAGAAGACUGGGAAUGAAAGGCAAGAAGCUCCAGAAAGAAUCUGGAGAAAUUUACAGAAGAAAGAGAACCAAUAACCAUGCCCCAGGUAUAAAGAACACAAACAUCUAGGUUUGGAUGUUGACAUAUAUAUACUUUACACAUCUUGCAUCUUUUAAUCCUCAAAACGACCCUGCCGAAUAGAUGCGUGUUUUCCCAUUUAUCGACCAGAAAAUUUAAACUCAAGAUACUUUCCUGAGUGAACUUUUGGUGUCCCCUUUCAUAAUAUAAGCUCCAGAAAGCGGAAGUUCAAUUAAACCAGAAAAACCUGUUUAAUUGAAGCCAACCAUUGUUUAUUGAACACUGAUUGGUGGAAAGCACUGUGAUCGAAAACAGACACAUAGAAAAUAAUGAAGUGGCUUAAAAAAUUCUUUCUUGGAUAAUGAAAAACCUGUAUCAUAUAGAAGAAUAGAAGACUGCUUCCAAACAUCCUCUGACUUGGAAGACAGUUACACAUUUGUCUGUUACGUAUUUCUCAUCCAGAAGCAAAUAUUAACCAGUCAACAUCGAAUGCCAUUUGAUUUCAUCCCCUUUGGCUUGGAAAACCUAUGACUACCCACACUCAGGGGCCAUCGGCAUGGAAAGUAUUAGUUCCUGUGCAGCCCAGGAGCUCUAUAGGAAGCGGUGGAAUCCCAAAGGUGGGUUGAAAGGUUCAAAUCAUAGCCAAGAAAAAUAACUUCAGUCACUGUCAACGGUCAAUAUCAUUUAAAUCUCUAGAAAUCUUAUGAAAAAAAGAUAAAAAUUAAAAAUAAUGGCUUUCUUUAGGGUCCUUCCCACAGCAAUGAUUCAGAAUACUACAUUUUUAGACAGGGGAGGAGAAAAUCAUAAUGCCCGGUAGAGGGGAGAUGUAAUUUUAUUAUCUGGCAAGAUAGCGGCUUCAUCAUUAAAAAAUUCAACCAACUAGAAUACAGCGUCCUUUGACCUAGCAGAUAAAAGGUCAGACAGCAAUUUUGAAUAAUAAAUGAGACCUGUUGACCUGAUGACCCAAAUCUGGCAGGGUGAGUGUUUCCUCUUUCACAGAUGCAGACACACACACCAAGACAGCUCAGCUAAUGAGCUGCCUCAACCCAGGUUGUGGGUGCUGCAGUGUUUUCGUGUUAUGUAGCACGGGGAGAACAAAUUUCUGAAGCUGUUGUGUCAUGUAAAGUGAUAUUUAUAGAAAUAUUUCUAUUGUGGCUUUUAAGGAGACUCUUUCCUGAGUUCCCAAUGUUUCUAUUUAGUUGUUGAAUUGAGUAGAAACCUAAACAUUGGUCAAGGUAUUUCUUCCACCUCUGAUUUCCUUUAUUAUUUUAGCACUGGCAAAGAAGAAAGGAAAUGCUAUAUGCAUUUCACUUAUAUUAACAGCAAGGUGAUUUUAUGAGAAUUUUCUAAAAAUGGGAAUGAACCUAAAUGUGACUCUUUCACUUCAUUUUGGUGCAAAUAGUCCUUGUAUUUAGAUAACGGAUGUAGAAGUACAAGGUAUUAAGCUAUAUGGAUAUUUGUGACAUAGUAAUUAGUUUAAAUGUUUAACUUUAUUUGAGUAACACAGUGAUGUAAUUUGAAACCUUAAAAAUUUCCAACUAAAAUGAAAACAGAAAUAUGGCUUUAAACUAAACUAUCCAUCCCUACAAUUUUAAUCCUUAAAAUUUUCAUUAUUGCUUUUGGAAAAUAACAGCUGUUACAAAGUAAACUUGGUAAAUGUUUACAUUCUUUUUGAUAAAUAUCCUAUAAUAUGUCUA
Molecule: long non-coding RNA, 1924 nt
Filed under: Homo sapiens (human)
Lineage: Eukaryota; Metazoa; Chordata; Mammalia; Primates; Hominidae
Description: HSALNT0381414
Source: RNAcentral